RNAcentral lists this ribosomal RNA (425 nucleotides) under uncultured bacterium. RNAcentral's name for it is "partial 16S ribosomal RNA". It matches the Rfam family "Bacterial small subunit ribosomal RNA", at positions 354 to 796 of the family's 1533-position model. The record is from RNAcentral.
GUGAGGAAUUUUGCGCAAUGGGGGCAACCCUGACGCAGCGACGCCGCGUGGAGGACGAAGUCUUUCGGGAUGUAAACUCCUGUCAGUGGGGACGAUAAUGACGGUACCCACAGAGGAAGCACCGACUAACUCCGUGCCAGCAGCCGCGGUAAGACGGAGGGUGCAAGCGUUGUUCGGAAUUACUGGGCGUAAAGCGUAUGUAGGCGGCAAGUUAAGUUCAAUGUUAAAGCCCACGGCUCAACCGAGGAGAUGCAUUGAAUACUGGCUAGCUAGAGGGUGUUAGAGGAAGACGGAAUUCCCAGUGUAGCGGUGAAAUGCGUAGAUAUUGGGAGGAACAUCGGUAGCGAAAGCGGUCUUCUGGGACAUACCUGACGCUGAGGUACGAAAGCGUGGGGAGCAAACGGGAUUAGAUACCCGGGUAGUCC